RNAcentral lists this non-coding RNA (162 nucleotides) under pig gut metagenome. RNAcentral's name for it is "Lysine riboswitch". It matches the Rfam family "Lysine riboswitch aptamer". From Rfam's summary of the family: Riboswitches are metabolite binding domains within certain messenger RNAs that serve as precision sensors for their corresponding targets. Allosteric rearrangement of mRNA structure is mediated by ligand binding, and this results in modulation of gene expression. The record is from RNAcentral.
AAAGAUAGAGGCGCAGGGAACAAGAGUAGCCGUGCAAAAAAGCCCCCGGAGGGCGUGCGGCGAAAGGGAACUCUGCCGAAGCGGGAAGAACCGGAAUCUUCUUCAGGCUGGGCUGUGGGAGAACAUCUUACAGACUGUCACAGAAAUGUGGAGAGCUAUCGU